Molecule: long non-coding RNA, 769 nt
Organism: Dermochelys coriacea (leatherback sea turtle)
Lineage: Eukaryota; Metazoa; Chordata; Testudines; Dermochelyidae
Exons: 3
Source: RefSeq, a predicted model, not a curated record
CGGACGCGUCCUGCCGCUCAGCCAGCCAGGCGGAGACGCGCCAAAGCAUCUGGGAACCGUAAUUCCCGGAGCCCGGCUCGCGGCAAGGAGUCAGCGGCACCCGCUGCAAAAGCUGGGGGCGCAGGACCCCACCCCACGCGGCUGUUCACGCGCCCCCCGUGGCCCCAUCCCUGUCAGAGAGCUCUUCUCCGGAGGAGGGGAAGGUGAAAGGGCUUCCUGGGCUCUUAAAGGGAUUCUGCACUUGGGUGGUGGCAGCAUCUACCAAUCCAAGCUGCAGACAUUGUGGCCUUGAAGGGUGCCCCCUCCACACCUAUGGAACGCCUGAGUCAGAUAAGGAGGAGGGAAAAAAAGGACUUGGGAUGACAUAUUCAGCGAGAUCAUGCAAGCCAGUGCUACACUGGACGAUAAGCAGAGGGCCUGGAGAAUAAAUAUUGCAGACUAUAUGGAGAAGGACAGAACAGACAGAAAAGAGGCAGCCAUCCUUGCGGGGGGAGAAUAACAAAGUAGCCCACCACAGUAGCAUUUAACUUCAUAAAAGGGAACUCCACAACAAUGAAGAAGUCAGUUAAACAGAAAUUAAAAGGAACGGUCACAAGGAUUAAAUGCCUGCAAGCUGCAUGAGGACCACUGAAAAACACCCAUAACAGGGGCUCAAAUCAAAUUUAUACCCCAAAUAAAAAGUAAGAGGAGCAGAUAAAUGCUGCCAUGGCUAAACAGAGUAAAUGAGGCAGUUAGAGGCAAAAAGGCACCCUUUAAAAAUUGGACUUUA